GAUGAACGCUGGCGGCGUGCUUAACACAUGCAAGUCGAACGGAAAGGCCCAAGCUUGCUUGGGUACUCGAGUGGCGAAAGGGUGAGUAACACGUGGGGGAUCUGCCCUGCACUUUGGGGUAAGCCUGGGAAACUGGGGUUAAUACCGGAUAGGACCCCACUUUGGGUGGUGUGGUGGAAAGUUUUUCGGUGUGGGAUGAGCUCGCGGCCUAUCAGCUUGUUGGUGGGGUAAUGGCCUACCAAGGCGUCGACGGGUAGCCGGCCUGAGAGGGUGUACGGCCACAUUGGGACUGAGAUACGGCCCAGACUCCUACGGGAGGCAGCAGUGGGGAAUAUUGCACAAUGGGCGCAAGCCUGAUGCAGCGACGCCGCGUGGGGGAUGACGGCCUUCGGGUUGUAAACUCCUUUCGCUAGGGACGAAGCGCAAGUGACGGUACCUGGAGAAGAAGCACCGGCUAACUACGUG
This 465-nucleotide ribosomal RNA is filed under the name uncultured bacterium. Its description in RNAcentral is "partial 16S ribosomal RNA". It matches the Rfam family "Bacterial small subunit ribosomal RNA", at positions 28 to 507 of the family's 1533-position model. The record is from RNAcentral.